RNAcentral lists this ribosomal RNA (441 nucleotides) under uncultured bacterium. RNAcentral's name for it is "bacterial SSU rRNA". It matches the Rfam family "Bacterial small subunit ribosomal RNA", at positions 958 to 1398 of the family's 1533-position model. The record is from RNAcentral.
AACGCGAAGAACCUUACCUGGGCUUGAACCGCACAGGACCAGCUUGAGAAAUCAGGCCUUCCCGCAAGGGACCUGUGUAGAGGUGCUGCAUGGCUGUCGUCAGCUCGUGUCGUGAGAUGUUGGGUUAAGUCCCGCAACGAGCGCAACCCUUGUCCUGUGUUACCAUGCCGAAAGGCGGCACUCGCAGGAGACCGCCAGCGAUAAGCUGGAGGAAGGUGGGGAUGACGUCAAGUCCUCAUGGCCUUUAUGUCCAGGGCUACACACGUGCUACAAUGGGCGGUACAAAGCGCUGCUAAGCCGCAAGGCGGAGCCAAUCGCAAAAAGCCGCUCUCAGUUCGGAUUGCAGGCUGCAACUCGCCUGCAUGAAGCUGGAAUCGCUAGUAAUGCUAUAUCAGAACGAUAGCGUGAAUACGUUCCCGGGCCUUGUACACACCGCUCGUC